CUGACGUCAUGUGAUCAAGGUCAGGAUCUAGAGGUGUGGAUGCCAGUCAGGGCUCCGGUACUGCAGUCAGCUAUGGGGAGGUGCUCACAACCAUAAGUGCUUCUGGAGCCACAGUGGAAUGAGUCUGGAGGGCUCCACAGGAGUGUCCUGACGUGCAGAAGCUGUGGCCAUCUAGUCCUGGGGCUUCUCUCUGACCCAUGUGUUAUAGCAAACCUCAGUUAGGUGCCAGUGAGAAGACCCAGGACGCAAGGGGAGAUCACCAAGGAGUAGGACCAGUUCUCCACAGACCACCACCCUGAGUUCUAGGAGACAUAAUGUUGGAUGGGGACGUACUCCAGAAGACGGGCCACUUGGCCACAGCAGCUCUGAGGGAACACUAGCAUUGGCACUUGGGCAAGGCUUCCGAGCCACCCUGGGUUCCUGAGUUUUUCUCACUGUGGAACUUGAGACAGCAAGGCUAGGAAGUGUGACCUGAUCCUGUGGCUCACACUACAGUGCUGAGGG
Molecule: long non-coding RNA, 504 nt
Filed under: Mus spicilegus (steppe mouse)
Lineage: Eukaryota; Metazoa; Chordata; Mammalia; Rodentia; Muridae
Description: lncRNA (ENSMSIG00000023012.1)
Source: RNAcentral